This is a non-coding RNA of Camellia sinensis, 1755 nucleotides long. The record is from RefSeq and is a predicted model, not a curated record. Lineage: Eukaryota; Viridiplantae; Streptophyta; Magnoliopsida; Ericales; Theaceae.
AAAAAAAAAAAAAGAAAAAAAAAAAACCCCUCAGUCUUCUGCCCUAAUCUCACUCUCUCUCUCUCUUGUGGCCAGUCGUUACUCUGUCUUUCCUCUUGUUCUCGCUGUUAAUACAUCAAAAGCCACAUAGAAGAGAGAGAGAGAGCGAGAGAGAUUGACGGCAGCCGGAAGUUCCACCUCCACCCAACGCCACCUCUGCACAAGAUGGCAUCGAAUCGGUGUUGGGACAUCGAUUAGCGUCAGCGCCAGCGCCACCACUGUCUCUUUCUCUUGUCCAUCCAUGGCCUCAUUGCCGUUGCUGCCUCACCCAGUUUCUCCCCACAGAUCCAAUUUUUGCCAGGUUUCUGAUUGAUGGAGCAUGGUUAAAGCACUCAGCCAAAGCAGAGGCAACCUGGAUAGCAUGGAUCAGCCAUUGUAGCAGAAGCUAGAGCAUGUUUUGAAGUGUUAAGAUGGUGCAUACAAAGCAAAGUGAUGUCAGUUACCAUCCUAACAAAUUGUCAAGUGUUAGUAAAGAGGUUCAAGGAAGGGAAUGCAGUAGAUAGAGUGGAAUCUGAAGUACAUCUGAAUGGACAUCUGUUAUCUAUAGAUUAUGUAUGUAUAACUGAAGUACCUAGGCUGGUAGUGCAAGCUGCACACGAGGCAGCAAAGUCAGCCUCUAUAAGGGUUUGUUUUGUGUUUUGUAAUGGUUUAUUUUGAUAGGACUAUAUGCACCUUAACCGUCCUCAAAUUUUUUUGCCAAAAGUCGAGUAGUAGCCCUUCAAAAUUGAGCAGUAGCCCUUCAAAAUGUGGAAUCCUCAUUUUCAAAACUUGGUGGGAUUUUCACUCAUUUGGCUACAAUGGUAGCGCAACAAGGGGAAUUGGCUAUCAGGAUUGAUGAUAACAUGGAAGAGUCAUUGACAAAUGUUGAAAGUGCUUGCAGUGCCUUGUUAAGGCAUUUAAACCAGAUAUCAUCAUACAGGUGGCUCAUGAUUAAGAUAUUUGCCAUUUUGAUAUUUUCUUGAUGCUGGAUUUAGCUACAUCUGGAAAAGGAGGAAUUGGGACUUAUAUUGGAAUAUGUAUGAUUAGCGGUGCUUUUGGAGUUGCAGAUGCUCAUGUUCAGGGUGGAAUGGUUGGAGAUCUAUCAUUCAGGCUACCCGAGUUCAUGCAAGUUAGUAUUUGUGGUUAGCUUAUUAUCUGAUCUAGUUUUGAAGUUUUGAUAUAAGCUUUCUUGUUUUUUUAUUCUUUAUGUCUUUUCUUGCUGUUUUGGCUGCAUCGGGGGAUCUAACCUCUGGCUUGAGAUUGAUUACAAAAGCAGCAUUUGAGAAUUCCAAGGAUGGCCUGCGCAAGGGAGCUAGUAUGUUCAAAUCCUUUUAGCUGUUUUUCAUAAAUUUUGUAGGAAAUAUGAUUCAAUAAGUAUUGCUACAUAUUGGGGUUACAAUUUUCUAGUUACUGUUUUGUGAAAGAGAUACUCAUCAAACUUAUGUCAACAUUUAAGCCAAUGACUCAAAGUAUGAACGUAACAGAGAUUAAGUUCAGGUAGGUAGACAAUGACCUUUUUUUCUCUCGAGUUUUUUCUUUAUUUUUUAUUUAUAAAUAUUUAUGGUUAUUGUUUUCCACCUAAACUACAAAUAAUAGGUUAUCAUUGUCAAUCUUUUUAGGUAGUUUAUUUUGAUGCAUUUUGUACUAUAUUUGACUUAUGUUUCCAAACCAAGUAUUUUGCUUGUGCCCUAUUUUGUUCAAAUUAAUGAAAUGUUUGUCCCGGAUAUUGACAGCUAA